UGGUUAGUGGCGCACGGGUGAGUAACACGUGACUAAUCUACCCCGAACUGGGGAAUAACGCUGGGAAACUGGCGCUAAUACCGCAUGUUGAGCUUGAGGGACAUCCCUUGGGCUUGAAAGCUUCGGCGGUUCGGGAUGAGGUCGCGUCCCAUUAGCUUGUUGGUGAGGUAACGGCUCACCAAGGCGACGAUGGGUAGCUGAUCUGAGAGGAUGGUCAGCCACACUGGGACUGAGAUACGGCCCAGACUCCUACGGGAGGCAGCAGUGAGGAAUAUUGCGCAAUGGGCGAAAGCCUGACGCAGCAACGCCGCGUGGAGGAUGAAGGUGCUUUGCAUUGUAAACUCCUGUAAGAGGGGACGAACAACCCACCGUCUGGUGGGCCUGACGGUACCCUCAAAGUAAGCACCGGCUAAUUCCGUGCCAGCAGCCGCGGUAAUACGGAAGGUGCAAGCGUUGUCCGGAUUUACUGGGUGUAAAGGGCGUGUAGGCGGAGUGGUAUGUCAGAAGUGAAAUCGUACGGCUUAACCGUUGCAAGUGCUUCUGAAACUGCCACCCU
RNAcentral lists this ribosomal RNA (556 nucleotides) under uncultured Caldithrix sp. RNAcentral's name for it is "bacterial SSU rRNA". It matches the Rfam family "Bacterial small subunit ribosomal RNA", at positions 89 to 642 of the family's 1533-position model. Lineage: Bacteria; Pseudomonadati; Calditrichota; Calditrichia; Calditrichales; Calditrichaceae. The record is from RNAcentral.